This 267-nucleotide unclassified non-coding RNA is filed under the name Bombus terrestris (buff-tailed bumblebee). Its description in RNAcentral is "misc RNA ENSBTSG00005022970.1". The record is from RNAcentral. Lineage: Eukaryota; Metazoa; Arthropoda; Insecta; Hymenoptera; Apidae.
GUUUCCUUUAGUCUGUGGUGAUAAUAGGAAGAUCGUGAGGCCGCGUGAUAAAGCGCAGAAAGGAGCUACGAAGAAGCUUGGUCACGGCCGAGAUUCGCGAAUUAAUUACGCGCUGGCACGAAUUCGCCGAGUGUCGUGAACGGCGAACGAGCUUGAGGUUGAAACUUUCGCGACGACGACGCGACGACCGAAAAACGACAGAUGGCCGCGAGUUUCGACUGGAACAACGGACCUUUUAUAAUGUAUUCGGCCAAACCAGAUUGUCGG